Molecule: ribosomal RNA, 103 nt
Filed under: Pteropus alecto (black flying fox)
Lineage: Eukaryota; Metazoa; Chordata; Mammalia; Chiroptera; Pteropodidae
Also listed under: 1 other name
Source: RNAcentral
GUCUACGGCCAUGCUACCCUGAACAAGCCCGAUAUCUGAUCUCAGAAGCUAAGUAGGGUCAGGCCUUGUUAGUACUUGGAUGGGAGACCAGGUGCUGUGGCAU